AUGCACGCUGGCGGCGUGCCUAAUACCUGCAAGUCGAGCGCACAGACGAGGAGCUUGCUCCUCUGACGUUAGCGGCGGACGGGUGAGUAACACGUGGAUAACCUACCUAUAAGACUGGGAUAACUUCGGGAAACCGGAGCUAAUACCGGAUAAUAUAUUGAACCGCAUGGUUCAAUAGUGAAAGACGGUUUUGCUGUCACUUAUAGAUGGAUCCGCGCCGCAUUAGCUAGUUGGUAAGGUAACGGCUUACCAAGGCGACGAUGCGUAGCCGACCUGAGAGGGUGAUCGGCCACACUGGAACUGAGACACGGUCCAGACUCCUACGGGAGGCAGCAGUAGGGAAUCUUCCGCAAUGGGCGAAAGCCUGACGGAGCAACGCCGCGUGAGUGAUGAAGGUCUUCGGAUCGUAAAACUCUGUUAUUAGGGAAGAACAAAUGUGUAAGUAACUAUGCACGUCUUGACGGUACCUAAUCAGAAAGCCACGGCUAACUACGUG
This 496-nucleotide ribosomal RNA is filed under the name uncultured bacterium. Its description in RNAcentral is "partial 16S ribosomal RNA". It matches the Rfam family "Bacterial small subunit ribosomal RNA", at positions 29 to 507 of the family's 1533-position model. The record is from RNAcentral.